This is a non-coding RNA of Mesocricetus auratus (golden hamster), 110 nucleotides long. NCBI's taxonomy places the organism in Eukaryota, Metazoa, Chordata, Mammalia, Rodentia, Cricetidae. The record is from Rfam.
GUGACAGCUUCAGCAGCACAUACACUAAAAUGGGAACAUUACAGAGAUUAACAUGGCCCCCCAUACAAGGAUGACUUAUACAUUUGUGAAGCAUUUCAAAAGAAUUUUUU